GGGCCGGUGGCUUAGUCAGGAAAUAGCACUGGCCUUCUAAGCCAGUGGUCUCGGGUUCGAAUCCCGACCGGCCCG
This 75-nucleotide transfer RNA is filed under the name Methanobacteriota archaeon. RNAcentral describes it as "Euryarchaeota archaeon tRNA-Arg". It matches the Rfam family "tRNA". Rfam says of the family: Transfer RNA (tRNA) molecules are approximately 80 nucleotides in length. Their secondary structure includes four short double-helical elements and three loops (D, anti-codon, and T loops). Lineage: Archaea; Methanobacteriati; Methanobacteriota. The record is from RNAcentral.